Molecule: ribosomal RNA, 213 nt
Filed under: uncultured soil bacterium
Lineage: Bacteria
Description: partial 16S ribosomal RNA
Rfam family: Bacterial small subunit ribosomal RNA
Source: RNAcentral
AGGACGAACGCUGGCGGCGUGCUUAACACAUGCAAGUCGAGCGGAAAGGCCCUUUGGGGUACUCGAGCGGCGAACGGGUGAGUAACACGUGAGUAAUCUGCCCUUCACUCUGGGAUAGCCCUCCGGAAAGGGGGAUUAAUACCGGAUACGACGCGCUCCUGCAUGGGGGUGUGUGGAAACUUUUUGGGGUGGGGGAUGUGCUCGCGGCCUAUC